GUGGGGAAUCUUCCGCAAUGGACGAAAGUCUGACGGAGCAACGCCGCGUGAGUGAUGAAGGUCUUCGGAUUGUAAAGCUCUGUUAAUCGGGACGAAAGAGCCUAGUGUGAAUAAUGCUAGGAAGUGACGGUACCGGAAUAGAAAGCCACGGCUAACUACGUGCCAGCAGCCGCGGUAAUACGUAGGUGGCAAGCGUUGUCCGGAAUUAUUGGGCGUAAAGCGCGCGCAGGCGGAUCUGCCAGUCUGUCUUAAAAGUUCGGGGCUUAACCCCGUGAUGGGAAGGAAACUACAGAUCUAGAGUAUCGGAGAGGAAAGUGGAAUUCCUAGUGUAGCGGUGAAAUGCGUAGAUAUUAGGAAGAACACCAGUGGCGAAGGCGACUUUCUGGACGAAAACUGACGCUGAGGCGCGAAAGCCAGGGGAGCGAACGGGAUUAGAAACCCGUGUAGUCC
RNAcentral lists this ribosomal RNA (450 nucleotides) under uncultured bacterium. RNAcentral's name for it is "partial 16S ribosomal RNA". It matches the Rfam family "Bacterial small subunit ribosomal RNA", at positions 354 to 796 of the family's 1533-position model. The record is from RNAcentral.